AAGAACCUGGGUAUGUUCUUGGGUAUAUUCACUAAAGGGAUCCCCUUUCCAAUAAAAUGUUAAAGGAAAUCUAUUAACCCAAGAUUGUUAAAGCUGAAAAGCCCUCCAGGGGGUGUGAAACCCUCGGAUACGUGCAGGAAGCGUCAGGUCUGGGGACUUCGCGGGGCUGUCCUCUGCCGCUCCCCAAGCUCCGCCAGGCCUGCCCCAGAGCUGCCGACCCGGCGGUGCGCGCCACUCUCCUCCCAGCCCCGGGGGCAGAGCCGGACUCGGCCUGGCUGGGCUGCUGCUGCCACUCCUCUCGCGGAUGCCGAAAACUCCUGCUUCACUGUCGAGCCCAAAGACACCAAAGUGGGGCAGCUGAGUUGGUACCCAGGUGUCCCGAAUCCAAAGCUUCCACUACACAGCCAACACGCGUCUGCCCGGAGUCGGGGUGGAGGGGACACAGCGUGCUCUGGCAGGGUAACUUCAGCUGGCGGGCCGGGGGAGGAGCUCGUAGGGAGCCGACGUCAGGGCUUUGAAGGACGAACGAAGGUUCUCUGAGCCGGGCAAAGCGGAAGAGCCUUGCAGGCAAAAGGAACAGCACGCGAAAGACAACGCAGACACUGUAGUCAUCAGGACUCUUGGCUGUGGGGAGAAUCUAACUUGACCCAGCCUAGUCGAGGGGUGGCCAUCCAAUGGCGGCUUCUAGAGGAGUCCAGCAGUGGAGCCGACCACACGCCUAGGUUUAAGCUGUCUUCCUGGGUUCUGCAUCUUUCUGCCCUUGAAGACUGAGGAUGAGUCAGUCAUCAUGAGGGCGGCCGAGCAUCAGGCAGUGUCACCAGAGACAGACCAGCACUCACCACCUUGCCAUGUCCUGUCCACUCUGAUCCUCCUGUUCUUCUACACGCAUCUGCGAAAGUCUCCUCCUCUCUCUGGCCCCGCGUUCACCGCUCACUCUGACCUCCGCUCCGCCUCCACACAGCAGUGACGUCAGGACUCUGCGUAACGUCACUGGUUGCUAGACGCCAGUCCGGGCGGCCCCAGCAACCAGUUUACGGUAAAUUAAUUUUCAUUCCGAGACAGAGCCUGGGGGGGCCUUAUUUUCUGGGGGAUGCCUUAUAUUUCACCCAGAAGGAAACCUGUAAGUAGGUCUUAGUUUCGGAGGAUGUUUUAUUUUCGGGAAACAUGAUAGCACAACCCUGGCUCACAGCAGGUACUCAGCGUAUGCUGAAUAAAGGAACAUCAGUUGAAUACAGCUCCAGAGUGAAUGCUAGGCUAGGGUGUGAGGGUAGCAGUGUCUGGUGCAUGGUUGCACUGGAGUUCCCCGUCUCAACUGGGGCCAUGUCCUCCUCUAGACCUUGGACUUCCCCACAGGGACUUGAGGGGAGGGGCAUGCCUUCCAGAGGGAAGAGAAGGAGGGGGUUAGAUGUUUCAACAGCUUUCCCCCACCUCCUCCAGCUGACUCUGGAGGUGUGCUACUCACUGGCCAAGAGUUACUGAAGGCAAGGGCUGCUCAGUAAAGCCUUUGCAUUCUUCAAUUCACCAUCUGGCAGAGGACAUUAAAAACUAUGUUGUUUUAGGGCGGUGCCUGUGGCUCAAAGGAGUAGGGUGCAGGCCCCAUAUAUCAGAGGUGGCGGGUUCAAACCCAGACCCGGCCAAAAACUGCAAAAAAAAAAAAGUUUUAAAGACAGAAUUGGAUCUGUGAAGAAUAGAGGGAUCCAACUUGCACUUUGACUUCAUUUUACAGACUUUAUUCAGAACUAGAGAGCACUCUAUUUGUAUUUUUCCACAGGUGGGUCUUGGAUCCACAGUGGUUAAGCAAAAACCUUCCCAAAUUUCUCAAUAUAAUACAAUUGAUUUUCUGUUAAGAAUAUCAAGUGUG
Long non-coding RNA from Nycticebus coucang (slow loris), 1861 nucleotides. RefSeq lists it as uncharacterized. The transcript is spliced from 3 exons. Lineage: Eukaryota; Metazoa; Chordata; Mammalia; Primates; Lorisidae. The record is from RefSeq and is a predicted model, not a curated record.